UCAGGAUGAUCUGGCACUGCCUCUCUUG
This 28-nucleotide non-coding RNA is filed under the name Mus musculus (house mouse). The record is from RNAcentral. Lineage: Eukaryota; Metazoa; Chordata; Mammalia; Rodentia; Muridae.